This 255-nucleotide unclassified non-coding RNA is filed under the name Herpotrichiellaceae sp. Its description in RNAcentral is "partial contains small subunit ribosomal RNA, internal transcribed spacer 1, and 5.8S ribosomal RNA". The stretch from base 1 to 46 matches the Rfam family "Eukaryotic small subunit ribosomal RNA", at positions 1786 to 1831 of the family's 1831-position model. Lineage: Eukaryota; Fungi; Ascomycota; Eurotiomycetes; Chaetothyriales; Herpotrichiellaceae. The record is from RNAcentral.
AAGUCGUAACAAGGUUUCCGUAGGUGAACCUGCGGAAGGAUCAUUAAAGAGUAAGGGUCUCCGGGCCCGAUCUCCAACCCUUUGUUUAAUUACCAUGUUGCUUUGGCGGGCCCGUCUCACGACCGCCGGAAGUUUGGUCUCAACCAGACUUCUGGCCCGUGCCCGUCAGUGGCCCCAUCAAAUUCUUGAUUAAAUAUGAUGUCUUAGUUAUAAACUUAAUAGUUAAAACUUUCAACAACGGAUCUCUUGGUUCUG